GGUGGAAGGCAGGGGGGUGUA
This 21-nucleotide microRNA is filed under the name Human alphaherpesvirus 1 (Herpes simplex virus type 1). Its description in RNAcentral is "hsv1-miR-H6-5p". Its record names the gene hsv1-miR-H6-5p. The record is from miRBase by way of RNAcentral. Lineage: Duplodnaviria; Heunggongvirae; Peploviricota; Herviviricetes; Herpesvirales; Orthoherpesviridae.